Molecule: ribosomal RNA, 1059 nt
Filed under: Escherichia coli
Lineage: Bacteria; Pseudomonadati; Pseudomonadota; Gammaproteobacteria; Enterobacterales; Enterobacteriaceae
Description: partial 23S ribosomal RNA
Rfam family: Bacterial large subunit ribosomal RNA
Source: RNAcentral
GGAAAGGCGCGCGAUACAGGGUGACAGCCCCGUACACAAAAAUGCACAUGCUGUGAGCUCGAUGAGUAGGGCGGGACACGUGGUAUCCUGUCUGAAUAUGGGGGGACCAUCCUCCAAGGCUAAAUACUCCUGACUGACCGAUAGUGAACCAGUACCGUGAGGGAAAGGCGAAAAGAACCCCGGCGAGGGGAGUGAAAAAGAACCUGAAACCGUGUACGUACAAGCAGUGGGAGCACGCUUAGGCGUGUGACUGCGUACCUUUUGUAUAAUGGGUCAGCGACUUAUAUUCUGUAGCAAGGUUAACCGAAUAGGGGAGCCGAAGGGAAACCGAGUCUUAACUGGGCGUUAAGUUGCAGGGUAUAGACCCGAAACCCGGUGAUCUAGCCAUGGGCAGGUUGAAGGUUGGGUAACACUAACUGGAGGACCGAACCGACUAAUGUUGAAAAAUUAGCGGAUGACUUGUGGCUGGGGGUGAAAGGCCAAUCAAACCGGGAGAUAGCUGGUUCUCCCCGAAAGCUAUUUAGGUAGCGCCUCGUGAAUUCAUCUCCGGGGGUAGAGCACUGUUUCGGCAAGGGGGUCAUCCCGACUUACCAACCCGAUGCAAACUGCGAAUACCGGAGAAUGUUAUCACGGGAGACACACGGCGGGUGCUAACGUCCGUCGUGAAGAGGGAAACAACCCAGACCGCCAGCUAAGGUCCCAAAGUCAUGGUUAAGUGGGAAACGAUGUGGGAAGGCCCAGACAGCCAGGAUGUUGGCUUAGAAGCAGCCAUCAUUUAAAGAAAGCGUAAUAGCUCACUGGUCGAGUCGGCCUGCGCGGAAGAUGUAACGGGGCUAAACCAUGCACCGAAGCUGCGGCAGCGACGCUGAUGCGUUGUUGGGUAGGGGAGCGUUCUGUAAGCCUGCGAAGGUGUGCUGUGAGGCAUGCUGGAGGUAUCAGAAGUGCGAAUGCUGACAUAAGUAACGAUAAAGCGGGUGAAAAGCCCGCUCGCCGGAAGACCAAGGGUUCCUGUCCAACGUUAAUCGGGGCAGGGUGAGUCGACCCCUAAGGCGAGGCCGA